ACGACUUCAUCUUGAAACUAUCCAUUUAUAAAAUCAAAAGCUACUAUACCAAUUUCUGUUGAAAUUUCCUGCUCACUUCUUUUGUCAUUCUCUCCUUUAAAGGUUGUGGUAUAGGUAAAUUGAAAUGAAAUGCUAAUGUUGUAAGGAUUUGAUUUUGAUUUUUUAACUGCAAACAUACUUCAAUUACUUUUAUGAGUAUUUAUGACAUCUUUUCUUCCUAUGUUAUGAGUAUUUAUAGCUACAUUAUGCAGGGAAUGCUGAUGACCCCCACAAAUCCAGCUUAUCUGUAUGCGAUUCAGAACAGAACUCUACUGCUUGUUUGCAGAAUGCAUCUAUGCUUUCCGAUCAGUACAUUCCAACUCAUUCUGCUUCAGAACCAACCCUUCCUGGUUUCAUGUGAGCUUCUCAAAGUGGCUAUUUUAUUACUUUCAGCAUGUACUGUUUCUAUCUCUUUUUGUGUGUCAGUAUACCACCUUUGACGUGACAUACUUGGGUUGGCAUUCUACUUUAAAACCGACUUUCGUUUUUUGAUUGCAGAAAACUGGAGGCAAUCUUUAGUUACGCUCACCCAUUCUUCCGUUGAAUCAUCUGGAGCUAAUAACUGCUCGAGUAGUGAAAAUCAGCAGUUAACUUGUACUGACGUUUCCAAGCCUGAUCCAGUAAAGAUGGAGCACUGGUUAGGGAAGAACAAAUGCAACUUACAGAAUUUUAUUCAGAAGAUGAGUUGGAGUGAUCUUAUAUAUUUUCAACAUAGACUGCUGCAGGAAGCAGUUGCAAAAAAGAGGCUAGCUGGUGUGUGCAUCAUUUUGUACUGAAUUGACAGUAUUGGCGGUUUCGUAUUUCACAAUACAUUGAAGUUGGAUGCCGUAUUGACAGUAAAAUAUGAUUUUUCAAUUUCGUUUAACAGUUUGCAUACCGUAUUGACAGUAAAAUAUGAUUUUUCAGAAUUCAUUGAAGUUGGAUGCCUUAAGUGGGCGGACUGGUCCAUGUUCUCAGCCAAUGCCCCGUGCCAAAAAGACUCUUUCUAGAGUUGCUGUCACAAGAGCUUCGUCAGAGAAAUAUUCAGAUUUUUCUUUGCCAAGAUCAGAUAUUUCUAAGGAGCAACGUAAAUCAUGUGAUAUCUGCAGACGAUUUGAGAAUGUGUUAAAUCAUAUCCCAGUAUGCUCUGGUUGCAAGGUUUUAGGACUCAUCCCUGGUCCUUUUUUAUACUUCGCCUAUUUUUUAUACUUGCUUCUUUAUCUUUAUUCUUAUUAAUAUUAUCAUCAUCAUCAUUAUUAUUGAAUGGUACUUAAUAUAAAAUUUUGUUUCUAUGAACUUACAGGUUUUGUUGGAGAUAUAUAGAGUGGUAAAGGUAUAUUCGGGAUCUGUUGAAGAUAUAUAAGAUGGAAUCUUAUGUUAUUUUCUUCUAUAUUGUGUUUUGUAGCAGUAGUUUAAACGCUGAAAGAAUUAUAAUAAUUUCUGAAUAGAACUUUUUGACAAUAAUCUAUAUAUUUAGGCCGGCUGUGGAGGAUGUGCGAUAACCUCUUCAAAAAACUAUUCAGGUGUACACGGGAAUAAAAGUAGUAUAAUGAACUCGUUCUCAUAAAUGUUAUUUACGUUACCCAUUUUUGAAUUUGUGAAAGGUUGUCAUAUUAAAAAGCCAAAUACUAGGCAAA
RNAcentral lists this long non-coding RNA (1655 nucleotides) under Medicago truncatula (barrel medic). RNAcentral describes it as "long non-coding RNA (MTRU_LNC005789)". Lineage: Eukaryota; Viridiplantae; Streptophyta; Magnoliopsida; Fabales; Fabaceae. The record is from RNAcentral.